ACACAGACAUGUGAUGAAACAAUCCCAUAUCUGCAGCACGGAGGAAUGAAUUCCCAACAUCCUAGAGGGUAUUUUGAAGAUCAUAGUGGGGAGUAGGUGAGAGGGGUGGGCAACCUCCAAAGCAGGAUUGACUCAGAAAAUAAACCAAGCUAUUCCAGACAUUUGGGGAAUUAUCUUGGCUUCUCUCAAUUUUGAAAGAUGCCUGGAGAGAGCUCAAAUGUUACUAGAAAAGUCCUCUUUCUACUUGUAGAAGCUUGUAGGUAUUUCCAAGAUUUAGUCUGAAAAUUGAGUUCUUAGGGUGGAUUUUUUCCCAUGUUCUAUUGGGGUGUGGGAAGAGAGAAAGAAUAAUAAUAAACACCAGGGAGUAACAAAAGCCCAUAACCGGCUCAUUUGGGCAGAUCUGGGCUUCAGCUGAAUUGGGUUGAGAUAGUCCCGGAUCACUUGAGGUCAGGAUGGCCCACUGAUAAUUAUCUGGGACUGGCAAGAGACACAGCAAUAGUGGCAGGGGAGAAGGAUAGGCACAAAGCCUUUGCAAAGAGCUGGAUGGAGCUGUUUGCAAGAGGACUUUUAAACAGCCCUGCACAGUGCUUUGCCUAUUUGUGCCUGUUCCGAUCAAGGGAAUAUCCAUGCACAGCCAAAUGAGCAGGACUGAACCCUCCACUCACCAGCAUUCCUGUUGGCUGCAGGGAAUGCACUGGGGAAGCAAUACCCAGCAGGAUUUAACUCUGGUCCCCAAGUAAAUUCAAUGACUAGAUCCAGGUUGGGUCAGCCCUGAGUUGGGUGAGGGCCGAUCCAAAGUCUUAGAAUGGCUGCUGGAUUGGGUUGUGGGAUGCACAGCACUAAAUCAACACCCUACAUUACCAGUGUGAGGUAUUCAUGUCUAUUCAGAAGUUAGAGAUCUAUGGGACCUUGGUAACUGUAAUCAUAGUCUAGCUUGACUUUUCCAAAGUUAACACUGGAAAUUCCGUUGGAGGGAGGGGAGAAAUUAGGACUCUUUAUCUAAGAAAUUAUCAUGGGCCAAAUAGAAUUCACAGUGAUAUUUCCUUUUAUUGCUAUUAUUAUUAAUUAAAGCAUAUUUCAAUAUCAGGGAAGUGAAGUUCACAAGGGAGAAAAAGGACACCCUAAUUAUUUCUCAUGGACUAAAGCGCAUCGCUUGACUGAGCUUCCCUGUGUGAGAUGGCUUCCGAAUGGCCUUUCUACUGUUGAGGGACAAAUGAAAGAAGCCACCAUUUUGAUUGUAUUUCUGAUCUCUAUCUUCCUCCCUUUGGACAUUUUUAACUUAUUUGUUCUGAAAUAAGAUCCUAGGUGCCUUCCUCAUUUAAUAGACUGAUUUGAAACCAUCAGAAGCUCUGGAACGAAUUCAUAAUGGAUAUUUCCUAAAAAUGCCUUCCUUCUCAUUUAAAGAAAGACAUCCUUUCAGCCUCCAAAGUGGUACCACGUUGGCAGGGAGUACCAGCAAAAUUAUGUUGAAAAUAUCUAUUGAAUUUAUCAUGAGUUAGCUAAUGCUUUGCCUAUUAACUGAAGUGCACAGUGACUAAUGAAUUGGAGAAUGGAUAUUCAGU
RNAcentral lists this long non-coding RNA (1562 nucleotides) under Podarcis lilfordi (Lilford's wall lizard). The record is from RNAcentral. Lineage: Eukaryota; Metazoa; Chordata; Lepidosauria; Squamata; Lacertidae.